UUGCUUUAGCAGCACAUACACUAAAAUUAGAACGAUACAGAGAAGAUUAGCAUGGCUCCUGCGCAAGGAUGACACGCAAAUUCAUGAAGAGUUCCAUAUUUUU
Molecule: small nuclear RNA, 103 nt
Organism: Nycticebus coucang (slow loris)
Lineage: Eukaryota; Metazoa; Chordata; Mammalia; Primates; Lorisidae
Source: RefSeq, a predicted model, not a curated record